RNAcentral lists this ribosomal RNA (253 nucleotides) under uncultured bacterium. Its description in RNAcentral is "partial 16S ribosomal RNA". It matches the Rfam family "Bacterial small subunit ribosomal RNA", at positions 524 to 776 of the family's 1533-position model. The record is from RNAcentral.
UACAGAGGUGACAAACGUUGUCCGGAAUUAUUGGGCGUAAAGGGCGCGUAGGUGGUUGAGUAAGUCAGGUGUGAAAGCUCUGGGCUUAACCCAGGAAUUGCAUCUGAUACUGCUCGGCUUGAGUACGGUAGAGGAGGGUGGAAUUCCCAGUGUAGCGGUGAAAUGCGUAGAUAUCGGGAGGAACACCAGUGGCGAAGGCGGCGAUCUGGGAAGAUACUGACGCUGAGGUGCGAAAGCGUGGGGAGCAAACAGG